AGAGUUUGAUCCUGGCUCAGGACGAACGCUGGCGGCGUGCUUAACACAUGCAAGUCGAGCGGUAAGGCCUUUCGGGGUACACGAGCGGCGAACGGGUGAGUAACACGUGGGUGAUCUGCCCUGCACUCUGGGAUAAGCUUGGGAAACUGGGUCUAAUACCGGAUAUGACUGCAUGCCGCAUGGUGUGUGGUGGAAAGAUUUAUCGGUGCAGGAUGGGCCCGCGGCCUAUCAGCUUGUUGGUGGGGUAAUGGCCUACCAAGGCGACGACGGGUAGCCGACCUGAGAGGGUGACCGGCCACACUGGGACUGAGACACGGCCCAGACUCCUACGGGAGGCAGCAGUGGGGAAUAUUGCACAAUGGGCGGAAGCCUGAUGCAGCGACGCCGCGUGAGGGAUGAAGGCCUUCGGGUUGUAAACCUCUUUCAGCAGGGACGAAGCGUGAGUGACGGUACCUGCAGAAGA
Molecule: ribosomal RNA, 463 nt
Filed under: Rhodococcus sp. RX138
Lineage: Bacteria; Bacillati; Actinomycetota; Actinomycetes; Mycobacteriales; Nocardiaceae
Description: bacterial SSU rRNA
Rfam family: Bacterial small subunit ribosomal RNA
Source: RNAcentral